UUCAAAUAAAGAAAAUGCAGCAGUGGGAUAUUAAUAUUACUAAUAAGGUGUAUAGAUAUUUAUUUUAAAACAUCAGCAUAUUAAAUGAUACUGUGUGCACUUGAUAAUAUUUUCAGGAAGUAGAAUUUGAAUGCAGGCCACCUCAAAUGUUAAAGCCUACAAAUAUAUCAUACAAGUUAACUGAAUCUUAACUGAUGCUGAUUUUAGUUGUCUGAUUCUGUAUUUUUUCCUCUUUGUCUUUUGUUACACAGAGUGAAAUACAUCGUUAGUUUUACCUUUGCUGAGUGAACAGAUCUUUGGUUUUGCCUUUGCUGACUACUGAUCUGAUCGUCUCCACUCUGGUGACCUGCUGCAGACAACCCUCUCCCUCUAUCAUUAUCAAGCAAUUCUGUCUGUCCUAUCACUCUCCCUGCUCUAUCUAAUUUGACAGCCAUUCUAUCUUGUAUCAAUCUAUCCCAUCUGCUCUAUCUAAUUUGACAGCCAUUCCAUCUUGUAUCACUCUAUCCCUACUGCUCUAUCUAAUUUUAUCAGAACCCAGUUUUUGAGAAAUCCAAGUUUUCAGAAAUUGUUAUCAGAACUUUGUCGAUCUGUAUUCAGAAUUCUGAGAGAUCUCCACUCUCACUGCUCCUUCUUUCCUGUCCUCUCACAUCCAGUCAUUUUGUUAGAAAUUACAAGUAGAAGGUUGAAUAUACAGUAGUAGAAUUACAGUAGACUUUAUAGUAGAAACUACUUACACAGCCCUACAUUUGCAGUUUUAGUCUCAGCAUUACACUUUGGAAUAAACACUGAUAGUUUGGCUUACAGGUGAAAUUCCUUUGAUAAAUCAUAUAACAUAUACACCUUUUUAAAGGUUUAUUUGUAAUAAGAUAAUCUUGUUAUUCUGUAAUAUAUCCAAAGUGCUAUAUUCACAUAAAUAUUAGAUUAUUUCAAAUGCAUUUGGCUAGUCUGUUUCAUUGACUAUAACAUUUGACUGCAGUAAGUGUGUACUGUUAUUAUUUAAAGACAAAGCCAUUUCUGUAAGUGUAAGUGUUCAGCUGCAAUUAUCAUCGAGAAGCUGCCCUGGGGACCCAGACCCAGUUUCCUGACUGCUGCAGAACAUUCAGCUGAAGAAUCCUCAUUGCCUCUCAUUUGAUCACCACACCACCACAGCUGUUUAUAUUUGCUUUAAAAUUUAGAUAUCUGAAAAGCUAAGAGUUUUAUUAUAGUAUUUUGAUUGUUGCUAUUUAUUCUGCAUAUCCC
Molecule: long non-coding RNA, 1239 nt
Organism: Oreochromis aureus
Lineage: Eukaryota; Metazoa; Chordata; Actinopteri; Cichliformes; Cichlidae
Source: Ensembl